GUGAUUAGGGCGCUGCGUUCGCACACCCGAGUCGGUGAGGUAACCGUGAGGGGCAGCCGCCUAAGGUGGGAUAGAUGAUUGGGGUGAAGUCGUAACAAGGUAGCCGUAUCGGAAGGUGCGGCUGGAUCACCUCCUUUCUAAGGAUAAGGAACUGCGCAUUGGUCUUGUUUAGUCUUGAGAGGUCUUGUGGGGCCUUAGCUCAGCUGGGAGAGCGCCUGCUUUGCACGCAGGAGGUCAGCGGUUCGAUCCCGCUAGGCUCCAUUGGUGAGAGAUUACCAAGUAAUGCACAUUGAAAAUUGAAUAUCUAUAUCAAAUAGUAACAAGAAAAUAAACCGAAAACGCUGUAGUAUUAAUAAGAGUUUAUGACUGAAAGGUCAGAAAAUAAGGUUAAGUUAAUAAGGGCGCACGGUGGAUGCCUUGGCACUAGGAGCCGACGAAGGACGUGACAACGACGAUAUGCCUUGGGUAGCUGUGAGUAGCGAUGAUCCAGGAUUUCCGACGGGGAAAAAACCAAAAAAGCCAGCGAAUUUCCCAACACCCCAGAGGACGUGUUUAUUGCUGUGUGGCCGCACCAACACAACACCCCCCCGCCUGUAAACUAAAUAUUCUAUUUUUUUUGUGCAGGCAGAGAAAAAAACAAAUAAGAGAAGGCAGGUGGUCGUGUAGUUGUUUGUUGUUUUUCAACCCGACGCGACACACACAUAAUGUUUUUUUAUUAAUUAGAAGUAGUAAUAUGCUCGUAUACCCGAGCGGCGCGCCGGACG
RNAcentral lists this unclassified non-coding RNA (764 nucleotides) under Streptococcus pneumoniae. RNAcentral describes it as "partial contains 16S ribosomal RNA, 16S-23S ribosomal RNA intergenic spacer, and 23S ribosomal RNA". The stretch from base 189 to 261 matches the Rfam family "tRNA". Lineage: Bacteria; Bacillati; Bacillota; Bacilli; Lactobacillales; Streptococcaceae. The record is from RNAcentral.